RNAcentral lists this unclassified non-coding RNA (189 nucleotides) under uncultured Glomeraceae. RNAcentral's name for it is "sequence contains ITS2". The record is from RNAcentral. Lineage: Eukaryota; Fungi; Glomeromycota; Glomeromycetes; Glomerales; Glomeraceae.
UAAAUAACAAUCGGUAUGUUGCUUUCUUGUGACAUUUCCGGAGUUGGGUCAUCUUAAUCUUUUAAGGGACCUAAAAUUGAUGUUCUUGAGCAUCUUGACGUGUAUAAUUUUUUUAUCUCGUCGCCGGAUGCUGAGGCAUUAUUAGGUGUGGCCAUGCUAAGUGGUUUCAUGCUUAUAGGAAUCUUGAUU